RNAcentral lists this transfer RNA (85 nucleotides) under Nitrospinota bacterium. RNAcentral describes it as "tRNA-Leu". It matches the Rfam family "tRNA". From Rfam's summary of the family: Transfer RNA (tRNA) molecules are approximately 80 nucleotides in length. The record is from RNAcentral. Lineage: Bacteria; Pseudomonadati; Nitrospinota.
GCCGACGUGGUGGAAUUGGUAGACACGUACGUUUGAGGGGCGUAUGGAGCAAUCCGUGGGAGUUCGAGUCUCCCCGUCGGCACCA